GUAGGAUCUGACUUGAGGGGCAGCGAGAAGCACCAACAGAUGCUGUUGAAGGCGUAAUGAUGUGGAGACCACCUGAGGACACAUCAGGACAUGUGCUGCAAUAAAAACCAUCUUCACCGUCUGCCAAACUGAUCAGCACAUCCUCCCGAUACGACUGGCAACUCUUCUGCGUUUUAAUCUUCAUUAAAUGUGACACAGAUGGUCGUCAGGCGAAGAUUCACAGAAGCAAUCGUUAAGUUUUGAAAGCCGUUCAUCUUUUACAGGAACUAAGAGUCUGGAAGCAGUAAAGUGGCG
This is a long non-coding RNA of Austrofundulus limnaeus, 294 nucleotides long. RefSeq lists it as uncharacterized. The record is from RefSeq and is a predicted model, not a curated record. Lineage: Eukaryota; Metazoa; Chordata; Actinopteri; Cyprinodontiformes; Rivulidae. The transcript has 3 exons.